GGGGAUGAUCGGCCUAGACAAUGAAUAUGCAGUCGAAACUGCGAGGCAGAAGUGGAAUUCUUCUUUAAAAAUUCCAAACCAAUAACUGCCAAGUCAGUUGCAUCGCCGUACUUUACGGCGAAUGAUUUUGCGUUCGCUACCGCUUCGGCGUAACGACGCGACACCCUCCGCGAUGCGCCCGUAGGCGCGGGGUGUGUUAUAUCUUCGGGCUCUGCCGGACGGUUGCUUCACCGACCGCGCAAGAUAAUGAAGCUUGGGCUCAUACGAUUUUGUCCGCUUCGCCCGUAUGAGCUGAGAUUUAAAACGGACUAUGCUUCGUAGAUGUUUCUUUUGCCCUUCAUUGCACGGCGGUUCGAUUCCGCCCAUCUCCACUA
This 374-nucleotide small RNA is filed under the name Patescibacteria group bacterium. RNAcentral's name for it is "transfer-messenger RNA". It matches the Rfam family "transfer-messenger RNA". From Rfam's summary of the family: Bacterial tmRNA, also known as 10Sa RNA or SsrA, is named for its dual tRNA and mRNA-like properties. The record is from RNAcentral.